This is a ribosomal RNA of Lepisosteus oculatus (spotted gar), 118 nucleotides long. Lineage: Eukaryota; Metazoa; Chordata; Actinopteri; Semionotiformes; Lepisosteidae. The record is from Ensembl.
CCCAGCAGCCAUAUCACUCUGCAACUCACAACUGGCAACCCACUGAAGCUAAGCAGGUGUGAGCCUGGUCAGUACCUGGAUGGGAGACCUCCUGGGAAAAACUAAGGUGCUGCUGGAA